Molecule: long non-coding RNA, 530 nt
Organism: Perca fluviatilis (European perch)
Lineage: Eukaryota; Metazoa; Chordata; Actinopteri; Perciformes; Percidae
Exons: 4
Source: RefSeq, a predicted model, not a curated record
GACAGGAAAACUCGCGGUAAAAUAAAGUAUCGCGAUAACGACCACGGUUCUCUCUGAGACGUACAUAGAUAUAUAUCUAUGUGAGACGUAGUGGAGUAGAAGUACAGUAUAAAGUAGCGGACAAUGGAAAUACUUAAGCAAAUUCUUCUUCUAUACUAAAGUUAAUGCUGUUCUGUCUCACCUGAUGAACUGCACACUCCACACCUGCGUAGGGGAUCAUGCAGAGGAUGCUCGGCUUGAAUCCUCUGUAAAAGGAGGACACCGACUCGUGUCUGUAAAUGGUUCGGGCACAUGCCACAACACCAUGGGUAGAAGGCAGCGUGAGCGACAGCACCGGACACACAACCCAAGCCGAAACGCUGGUGCACCGUCAGAGUUUCCUGGUUCCUGUUCUGAGUGUACACCUUCAUCUGGACAAAGUAGAAUCCCUGACAAGUUGACGACAUUGCCUUGCCACAUCGACCGAAGACCACCUGCCCUCAUCAUCUCCUGAAAGCCUUGGGAAAAGGCUUUGGAUCCAUGAACCUACA